CUACGGGAGGCUGCAGUGGGGAAUAUUGGUCAAUGGGCGAAAGCCUGAACCAGCAAUGCCGCGUGAGUGAUGAAGGCCUUCGGGUUGUAAAGCUCUGUCAGUGGGAACGAAUAAGUCGAUUAAUAACCGAUGAUGACGGUACCCACAAAGGAAGCACCGGCUAACUCUGUGCCAGCAGCCGCGGUAAUACAGAGGGUGCAAGCGUUGUUCGGAAUUACUGGGCGUAAAGCGCGUGUAGGCGGUCUGAUAAGUCGGUCGUGAAAUCCCUUGGCUUAACCAAGGAACUGCGAUCGAAACUGGCGGACUAGAGUAUCGGGGGGGGUGGCGGAAUUCCCGGUGUAGAGGUGAAAUUCGUAGAUAUCGGGAGGAACACCUGUGGCGAAGGCGGCCACCUGGAAGAUUACUGACGCUGAGACGCGAAAGCGUGGGGAGCAAACAGGAUUAGAUACCCUUGUAGUC
Molecule: ribosomal RNA, 459 nt
Filed under: uncultured bacterium
Lineage: Bacteria
Description: partial 16S ribosomal RNA
Rfam family: Bacterial small subunit ribosomal RNA
Source: RNAcentral